CCACCCCUACAAGAGCUCCAUUCAAUCGUCUCUCAGGACCUGCCCUGAGAUCUGAGACACUCUCAGGCAACAAUAGCAGGUCAGAUGGAAAAGUAUUUAUUAACGUUUCAAAUAGAGGAGCUCUAGAAAGGCAACCCUAAAGAAGGCCUUUCAUGGCAGCAUUUCAGGCAGUGGUCAGGGCAGUCUGUUGAGAAACGGAGGGUGUCACGCUUCCCUUGCUGCCCUCCCGCCAGAACAGAACCAACUUUCUAUUGCAUUUCAAAGCAGGGCCAACCCAGGUCAGCCAGGUCACUGCCCAUGGCUACCUCCGAGGAGAAGCUAAUCUAACAAGGAUCUAGCAGCACCAGAGGGAGGAACCGGUUAUUGAGAUGUAAAAUUGGGUUAAAGUAAAUGAGUCCAGCCCUCUGCUCUACUCCCCAGCCCUGAGGAACCUCUGAGGUAGCUGCAGUGGACAAACCCUGUGGGUGGUAAACAGACCCAAGCCCAGAAGUUUAAAAUUCCUAUGUUCUGCGCCUAGCCGGCUCCUAAUCUGCUGUGUGAUGUUAGGCAACAUUCUAAACCUCUCUGAGCCUUGUGACACGGCUGGCAACGUGAAGAGCUUGGACUGGGUGGAUCUAAAGCCUCCUCCAGCUCCAAUAUGCUGUGAUGUCCCCUGCCCUUCCCUCUUCCACCCCCUUCCUCACUCCCUUUCCCUCACACACAGACACACACACACACACCCCAGUCCCAAAGAUCGAAUCCAAGAGAAAGGCAGAGUUUGGGUCAACUCAGUCCAGAGACUUCUGGAAACUGCAAUGAACCUGCAGCUUGUAUUUGGCCAACUGUCUUAGGGACUGAAAGAGCUUCUCUUCCCAGGUCAACCAAAGGUCCAGGCCUAGAUAAAAGGACUGCCCCACGCUCAGUGAGUUGAGUUGCUCAGCCUGCGUCCAGGAUGAACUAAGGCUCCUCGCUGACGCUCCAGUUUCAAACAAAGCUUUGAAAGAGAACUGCAUUCAGUGGAAAAUCCCCCGGUAACAAGGCCCCUGGGAGCAUUCUGGGAACACCAUCUGUCAAGCAUCAUUCCCACAACCUGUGACCAGAACAGCCUUUCAGUGUCAAUACCAAUCACAAUCAUCACAUCCUGUGUCUUUAGACAGUGGUCCUGGACCCUGUAAAGCCCUUCAUCCGGACUCAGUUUGGCCUCAUACAACUCUCUGAAUGAUGCACAGAUUUGGGGACCACUGCCCACCAUGCCAUCUGCACAGAAUCUGGGAAUCCUGGAAACUGCAGGCUUAGAAGGACCAUCAGAGCUCCAGGAGGGCACUCACCUGCCCAGCGCAAGUUGUCUCUCCGAGGCGUCCACAACCGCUGAGGAUACGGAUGGUGACACAGUGACAGAGACCACCAGUAGUCACAGCUUGAAUGAAGGAGCAGCAUCAUUCUCACAUAACACUCCAGGGCUGAUAGGGCAGCUCCUUAGGCUUGGGGACACAGGACUCUUCUGCUUGAAUUUGUAGGGUCUACUGACAUUUGGGCACCGCAGGAAGCAGACUCCAAGCUGGAGGUCAGCGUGCAGGAUCCACACCUGUGAAAAGGGAUACCGGCUGGAUUGAGCAGAGGGAGGAGUCGGGCUGUGAUACGGGCAUGGCCAAGGCUUCAGCCGACCCCUUGGAGACCCCUGAGGCUGUGAUAUCAUUUCAGGUUUUUCAUACUGAGACGAGGGAGCCAAGCCUUUACACACACACACAAGGACUAGUCGUUGGAUACUGGCUGCCCGUGGGAGGCGGUAUGACCUUGGUCCAGAAGACUCUCUUCAGCUGAGGGCGAUUCUCAGCAUUGGCUGAUAGCUGAGAGUGGGCAGCUGUGGGAAUGAGCCCUUUGCUCCUGAAAGGUAAUCUGAGCAGCACAUCACAGCACCCACUAUGAGACGGUUACAUGUUCAAUUGUGCUCCACCCUCCCAAAAAAAAAUCCGUAUGUUGAAGUUCUAACCCCCAGUACCUCAGAAUGUAAACUGAUUUGGAAAUAGA
This is a long non-coding RNA of Leopardus geoffroyi (Geoffroy's cat), 2007 nucleotides long. RefSeq lists it as uncharacterized. The transcript is spliced from 2 exons. The record is from RefSeq and is a predicted model, not a curated record. NCBI's taxonomy places the organism in Eukaryota, Metazoa, Chordata, Mammalia, Carnivora, Felidae.